Non-coding RNA from Xyrichtys novacula (pearly razorfish), 241 nucleotides. The record is from the annotation of a GenBank genome assembly. Lineage: Eukaryota; Metazoa; Chordata; Actinopteri; Labriformes; Labridae.
GUUCACAACGAUGCGUUCAAAGACAUUAUGGAAACAGACAACAAGGUUCAUGAGGUGCUUUCAGGGACAUGAUGGUAACACAAACAAGGUUUAAAUGGUGCUUUCAAUGACACAACAAAAAGGUUUAAAUGGUGCUUUCAAUGACAAAAGGACAAAUCAACAAGGUUUAAAUGGUGCUCACAGGGACACAAUGGUAAUACAAGGUUUAAAUGGUGCUUUCAAUGACAAAAGGGAAAACCAC